This 806-nucleotide long non-coding RNA is filed under the name Homo sapiens (human). RNAcentral describes it as "HSALNT0336870". Lineage: Eukaryota; Metazoa; Chordata; Mammalia; Primates; Hominidae. The record is from RNAcentral.
AGGAAAUGUCCUUGGGGAGAAAGCUCAUCUGUAGGCCAACCUAGAAGGUUGGGCCAUCCUGGAAAUAGCAUAAUACCCAAUUUUGAUGGUAACACAUUGGACCUUGUAAAAGAUAGAUAAAAUGAAUUUCUGGGCUACCUUCCCAGUUUUCUCCUUCCAGCUCAGAAAGCAAUCACUUACUAAUAUCAUAUGAAGAGAGAGAGAGGGAGAGAGAGAGAAAAACCUUUCUGCAAUUUACAAAAUUACAGAUGGAAUGACAGGGACAGGAUUUAUUCCCCACUGGAAGCAACUGGAAAACUGGAAAAAAAUAUACAAAACAGCAGUUCUCAAGACAUUGUGUGCCGGCAACAAAGGACAGUGAUGCUGGAGAGAUGAGAAAUAAGCAAGAACUCUUGUCAAUUGCCUUACGGACAGACCUAUAAGGCAAGAAACUGAUAUCUGUGAUCGAGAGCCAGUGAGCACCUGGGGCUUGUCACUGGCCAUGUGAGUGAGCUUGGAAGCAGAUACUCUCCCAGUUAAGCUUGGAAAUGAUUGCAGCCCCAACCCUGAUGGCUGACUUGUGAGAGACCUCCUUGAUUCACAGGCACCCAGUUCAUCUGCACCUGGAUUGCUGACCCAUGGAAAUGGCGAAGACACCUGCCCCCCUAUGCCCACCCCCCUCCAUCUCCUCUACCAAAAUGUCUGCACAACUUGUUUUUAUCACAGUACACAAAUGGAGGAAAAAGGGAUGCUUUAUGAACCAAAACUAGGCUGUGAUUAAAUUUCCAUCAAAUUCUUCCAUUUAUUCUGAACCUCUUAAGGUGGGG